This 593-nucleotide ribosomal RNA is filed under the name uncultured soil bacterium. Its description in RNAcentral is "bacterial SSU rRNA". It matches the Rfam family "Bacterial small subunit ribosomal RNA", at positions 890 to 1482 of the family's 1533-position model. The record is from RNAcentral.
AAGGCUGAAACUCAAAGGAAUUGACGGGGGCCCGCACAAGCGGUGGAGCAUGUGGUUCAAUUCGACGCAACGCGAAGAACCUUACCCAGGCUUGAACUGCAGGUGACAUCCUACGAAAGUAGGCUUCCGCAAGGACACCUGUAGAGGUGCUGCAUGGCUGUCGUCAGCUCGUGUCGUGAGAUGUUGGGUUAAGUCCCGCAACGAGCGCAACCCUUGUCUUCUGUUGCCAUCGGGUUAUGCCGGGCACUCUGAAGAGACUGCCGGUGACAAACCGGAGGAAGGUGGGGAUGACGUCAAGUCAGCAUGGCCUUUAUGUCUGGGGCCACACACGUGCUACAAUGGCCGGUACAAACCGUCGCGAGCCCGCGAGGGGGAGCUAAUCGGAGAAAGCCGGUCUCAGUUCGGAUUGUAGGCUGCAACUCGCCUGCAUGAAGUUGGAAUCGCUAGUAAUCGCGGAUCAGCACGCCGCGGUGAAUACGUUCCCGGGCCUUGUACACACCGCCCGUCACAUCACGAAAGCCGGCUGUACUAGAAGUCGCUGCGCUAACCCGCAAGGGGGGCAAGCGCCUAAGGUAUGGUCGGUGAUUGGGGUG